RNAcentral lists this ribosomal RNA (2277 nucleotides) under Streptomyces cinnamoneus. Its description in RNAcentral is "bacterial LSU rRNA". It matches the Rfam family "Bacterial large subunit ribosomal RNA", at positions 804 to 2925 of the family's 2925-position model. Lineage: Bacteria; Bacillati; Actinomycetota; Actinomycetes; Kitasatosporales; Streptomycetaceae. The record is from RNAcentral.
AUGACCUGUGGUUAGGGUGAAAGGCCAAUCAAACUCCGUGAUAGCUGGUUCUCCCGAAAUGCAUUUAGGUGCAGCGUCGUGUGUUUCUUGCCGGAGGUAGAGCACUGGAUAGGCGAUGGGCCACCGGGUUACUGACCUUAGCCAAACUCCGAAUGCCGGUAAGUGAGAGCGCGGCAGUGAGACUGUGGGGGAUAAGCUCCAUGGUCGAGAGGGAAACAGCCCAGAGCAUCGACUAAGGCCCCUAAGCGUACGCUAAGUGGGAAAGGAUGUGGAGUCGCAGAGACAACCAGGAGGUUGGCUUAGAAGCAGCCACCCUUGAAAGAGUGCGUAAUAGCUCACUGGUCAAGUGAUUCCGCGCCGACAAUGUAAGCGGGGCUCAAGCGUACCGCCGAAGUCGUGUCCAUUGCAGUACAUACCCCCAACGGGGACUGUGAUGGGUAGGGGAGCGUCGUGUGCCGGGUGAAGCAGCCGCGGAAGCGAGUUGUGGACGGUUCACGAGUGAGAAUGCAGGCAUGAGUAGCGAUACACACGUGAGAAACGUGUGCGCCGAUUGACUAAGGGUUCCUGGGUCAAGCUGAUCUGCCCAGGGUAAGUCGGGACCUAAGGCGAGGCCGACAGGCGUAGUCGAUGGACAACCGGUUGAUAUUCCGGUACCCGCUUUGAAACGCCCAAUAUCGAAUCAGGCGAUGCUAAGUCCGUGAAGCCCGCCCUGGAGUCUUCGGACAAAGGGGAGUGGUGGAGCCGACGAACCAGACUUGUAGUAGGUAAGCGAUGGGGUGACGCAGGAAGGUAGUCCAGCCCGGGCGGUGGUAGUCCCGGGGUAAGGGUGUAGGCCGUGUGAUAGGCAAAUCCGUCACACAUUAAGGCUGAGACCUGAUGCCGAGCCGAUUGUGGUGAAGUGGAUGAUCCUAUGCUGUCGAGAAAAGCCUCUAGCGAGUUUCAUGGCGGCCCCGUACCCUAAACCGACUCAGGUGGUCAGGUAGAGAAUACCGAGGCGUUCGGGUGAAACUAUGGUUAAGGAACUCCGGCAAAAUGCCCCCCGUAACUUCGGGAGAAGGGGGGCCCAUGUCUGGUGAGGGAACUUGCUUCCUGAGCUGGGUGUGGCCGCAGAGACCAGCGAGAAGCGACUGUUUACUAAAAACACAGGUCCGUGCGAAGCCGUAAGGCGAUGUAUACGGACUGACGCCUGCCCGGUGCUGGAACGUUAAGGGGACCGGUUAGCUCCAUUUCGGUGGGGCGAAGCUGAGAACUUAAGCGCCAGUAAACGGCGGUGGUAACUAUAACCAUCCUAAGGUAGCGAAAUUCCUUGUCGGGUAAGUUCCGACCUGCACGAAUGGGCGUAACGACUUCCUCGACUGUCUCAACCAUAGGCCCGGUGGAAAUUGCACUACGAGUAAAGAUGCCUCGUUUCGCGCAGCAGGACGGAAAGACCCCGGGACCUUUUUACUAUAGCUUGAUAUUGGUGUUCGGUUCGGCUUGUGUAGGAUAGGUGGGAGACUGUGAAGCAUGGCACGCCAGUGUGUGUGGAGUCGUCGUUGAAAUACCACUCUGGUCGUGCUGGAUGUCUAACCUGGGUCCGUGAUCCGGAUCAGGGGACAGUGUCUGGUGGGUAGUUUAACUGGGGCGGUUGCCUCCUAAAGGGUAACGGAGGCGCCCAAAGGUUCCCUCAGCCUGGUUGGCAAUCAGGUGUUGAGUGUAAGUGCACAAGGGAGCUUGACUGUGAGACCGACGGGUCGAGCAGGGACGAAAGUCGGGACUAGUGAUCCGGCGGUGGCUUGUGGGAAGCGCCGUCGCUCAACGGAUAAAAGGUACCCCGGGGAUAACAGGCUGAUCUUCCCCCAAGAGUCCAUAUCGACGGGAUGGUUUGGCACCUCGAUGUCGGCUCGUCGCAUCCUGGGGCUGGAGUCGGUCCCAAGGGUUGGGCUGUUCGCCCAUUAAAGCGGUACGCGAGCUGGGUUUAGAACGUCGUGAGACAGUUCGGUCCCUAUCCGCUGUGCGCGUAGGAGUCUUGAGAAGGGCUGUCCCUAGUACGAGAGGACCGGGACGGACGAACCUCUGGUGUGCCAGUUGUCCUGCCAAGGGCAUGGCUGGUUUGGCUACGUUCGGGAGGGAUAACCGCUGAAAGCAUCUAAGCGGGAAGCCUGCUUCGAGAUGAGGACCCACCCACUUGAUGGGGUAAGGCUCCCAGUAGACGACUGGGUUGAUAGGCCAGGUGUGGAAGACCGGUAACGGUUGGAGCUGACUGGUACUAAUAGGCCGAGGGCUUGUCCUCAGUUG